AUGCCACGGAGAUUUCACAAGACCUGGAAAUGCGGAUGCAAACUCUGGGCACUUAAUAAGUGCUUAAGAAUGGCAACUCGGCCGGCGCCACGGCUCACUAGGCUAAUCCUCCGCCUUGUGGCGCCGGCACACCGGGUUCUAGUCCCGGUAGGGGCCCUGGAUUCUGUCCCCGUUGCCCCUCUUCCAGGCCAGCUCUCUGCUGUGGCCAGGGAGUGCAGUGGAGGAUGGCCCAGGUGCUUGGGCCCUGCACCCCAUGGGAGACCAGGAGAAGCACCUGGCUCCUGCCAUCGGAUCAGCGCGGUGCGCCGGCUGCAGUGCGCCAGCCGUGGCGGCCAUUGGAGGGUGAACCAACGGCAAAAGGAAGACCUUUCUCUCUGUCUCUCUCUCUCACUGUCCACUCUGCCUGUCAAAAAAAAAAAAAAAAAAAAAAAAAAAAGAAUGGCAACUCUUAAACUCUUAACCUCCUCUCUGAAUGGCGCCCAGGAACUCACCCAGCCGUGUCUGGGGCAGGAGGGGAGGGUCUCUCCUCUUUGGCCCCCAGGCUGCCCCAGUCACAACACCCACCACCCCAUGCUGGGCCACCCACUCCAGAUGCCCCCACAGGCCUGGGGCAGAUCCAAGGGCAACCCCAACAGUGCCAGGCACCCAAGGAUACUCAGGAUUGUGAGGGUGAGGCAGCGGGGAAUUCUGGACACCAAGCCCCCCCCCCCAUGGAUGAGAAGGUUCUGUAGGCAGCCCAAGAGUGGGUCAGCAAGGAAGGGUGUGGACCGGGGCUGCCCACCCAGAGUGCCCCCCAUCAGGAGGCUGGAGCCCCAGGAAACAUUGGAACCCCAAGUUACUGCUGUGGUCCGAGUGGGCUCCAGGGCAGGGGUGAGGCGAGCCGGGACUGUUUCCAGAACUGAGUGGGAGGGGAGGGCUGGCACUGGGAGUCCCUUCCUUGCCCCUGUACACAGCUCCUCGGCCUUAGAGCAGGAGCCCCGGAGCGGCUCUGGGGAAGCCGGGCUCCUCAGUCUCGGUUUCGUCUUGAGAUUCGUCAUCCCUGAGCUGCUCCCUGCUUGUCUUAGGGGGAUGGCAUUUCUGCCGAUUUUUGACGUUUUGCUGAGAAAGAGCGCGUCUGUCCAGAUUCCUGAGUUUUCUCAAGGGAGCCUGUCAAUCCACUGA
Molecule: long non-coding RNA, 1161 nt
Filed under: Oryctolagus cuniculus (rabbit)
Lineage: Eukaryota; Metazoa; Chordata; Mammalia; Lagomorpha; Leporidae
Description: lncRNA (ENSOCUG00000037322.1)
Source: RNAcentral